GGGGCAAUGGCUCAGUGGGUAAGAGCACUGGCUGCUCUUCCAGAAAUCCUGAGUUCAAUUCCCAGCAACCACA
This 73-nucleotide transfer RNA is filed under the name Rattus norvegicus (Norway rat). It matches the Rfam family "tRNA". From Rfam's summary of the family: Transfer RNA (tRNA) molecules are approximately 80 nucleotides in length. Their secondary structure includes four short double-helical elements and three loops (D, anti-codon, and T loops). The record is from Rfam by way of RNAcentral. Lineage: Eukaryota; Metazoa; Chordata; Mammalia; Rodentia; Muridae.